This 460-nucleotide ribosomal RNA is filed under the name uncultured bacterium. RNAcentral's name for it is "partial 16S ribosomal RNA". It matches the Rfam family "Bacterial small subunit ribosomal RNA", at positions 338 to 795 of the family's 1533-position model. The record is from RNAcentral.
CCUACGGGUGGCAGCAGUGAGGAAUAUUGGUCAAUGGACGUGAGUCUGAACCAGCCAAGUAGCGUGAAGGAUGACUGCCCUAUGGGUUGUAAACUUCUUUUAUAGGGGAAUAAAGGUAUCCACGUGUGGGAUUUUGUAUGUACCAUAUGAAUAAGGAUCGGCUAACUCCGUGCCAGCAGCCGCGGUAAUACGGAGGAUCCGAGCGUUAUCCGGAUUUAUUGGGUUUAAAGGGAGCGUAGGUUGUUGUUUAAGUCAGUUGUGAAAGUUUGCGGCUCAACCGUAAAAUUGGAGUUGAAACUGGCAGUAUUGAGUACAGUAGAGGUGAGCGGAAUUCGUGGUGUAGCCGUGAAAUGCUAAGAUAUCACGAAGAACUCCGAUUGCGAAGGCAGUUCACUGAACUGCAACUGACAACGAAGCUCGAAAGUGUGGGUAUCAAACAGGAUUAGAUACCCUUGUAGUC